Long non-coding RNA from Equus caballus (horse), 2295 nucleotides. RefSeq lists it as uncharacterized. The record is from RefSeq and is a predicted model, not a curated record. Lineage: Eukaryota; Metazoa; Chordata; Mammalia; Perissodactyla; Equidae.
GGGCGGGCCCGGCCAUAGGCGCCCAAGGGCUUACAGCUCGGGUUUUUCUGGUUAAUUGCUGCAGCAAGAGGACUAGCCGGCCGUGUGCAGAGCAUCCUUUUUUGACCCUCAGAGAGCCCGGGCGGGAAAAGAGCGUCCCUCAAGAGGGCCUUGGCCCUCGUGGAUCUGGUUCUCUCAGGCCAGCGUUCCUUCGACGGGGACUCUCCUGGCGAGUUCCUAGCCGUUACCCUUUCCUCAGCUCAGCUCCUGGACCAUGGCUCUGGGUCACACAGCCUCCUGGGCUGCUCUUUCGUAUGCCACAUUUUUAUUCACUUUUGAGAGCCUAUGCGCCAUGCACCCUUCUAAUCCCUGAAUGGACGAAACAAAGCCCUUAGACUGACAUUCUAAUGGAGAACAGAAAUCAAGAUGUGGUGUUAUGAAUUGUGUCCACCCCAAAUUCGUAUAUUGAAGCCCUAAUCCCCAAUGUGACUGUAUUUGGAAAUAGGGCCUUUAAAGAGGUAAUUAAGGUUAAGUGAAGUCACAAGUGUGGGUCCCAAACCAACAUGACUUGCAUCUUUGUGAGAAGAGGAAGAAAUUCCUGGGAUCUGUGUGCACAGAGAAAAGGCCGUGUUGAGGACACCUGCAGGCCAGGGAGAGAAGCCUCUGGAGAAAUCAACCCCGCUGACAGCUUGGUCUUGGAAUUCCAGCCUGCAGAACUGGGAGAAAACAUUUCUGUUGUUUAAGCCACCUGGUCUGUGAUAUUCUGUUGUGGCAGCCCUAGCAAACUGAUACAGGUGGACAGGAACGCUUCCUACGGUGAUGAGGAGAAAAGAGCCUCCCUGUGGUAUUCGGAGUCCUGUCUUCCUAUCUUUCUGUUGGUUGAUGUGUAGACACAACGAUUGGAGCCAAGCAGACAACCUGGACCCUGGAGGACAGAGACUCAUGUUGAGGAUGGUGGAUAAAUGGGAUAGAAGUCUGGAUCCUUAAUGAUUGUAGAGCCACCCUAUUAUCCUGGCCUGCUUCCCACUGACAUCUUGCAUAUAAUUUGGUUCAGGAAUGGCUCUACGACCCAUGUUGGGCUACUCAGACACUAGAAGCAGUUCAAGAGCUUCUGGGGGAAGUUCUUUCUCAUUCGCUUGGAGACCUUCUGAAAGCUCCUCUUUCCCACUUGCCCUGGUGGUUGCUGUUCACAUCCAAGGCUGGCACUGCUGUAGCCAUCUGGCUAUCAGCUUGAAGAGGAAGCCAACACAGAGGAAGGCACAGCCAGUUACAUCACAAGCACAUGGAAUCACAGCCGUUGGAUUCAGAUGAUCCUGAAGUGGGUUCAACCUCUGGACUUCUAGUGAAGUGAGCCAGUCAAUCUCCCUGUUAUUUAAGGAAGAUUGAAUUGGAUUUUCUAUGACUUGCAAUUAAAAGCAUUUUGAGCUGAUAUAGACACAUGGUGGAAAUAAGCCCUCAACUGGGAGCAGAAUACUUGGUUCUCCCUCCAGCCCACCACCAAUUGGCUGUGUGACCUUAAGCAAGUCACUUCACUUCUCUGGGACUUACCUUCCUCAUCUGAAAAAGUGAAGCUUUUGGACAAGAUCAGUGGUCCUCAACCAUGGGUGGUUCUGCUCCCGUACGAGAUGUUUGGAAAAAUGUGGGACGUUUCUCAUUACCACAAUAACUGUGGAAACACUACUGACAUUUACCAGGCAGAGGACAGGGAUGCAAACUGUCUACAAUGCUUGGGAUGAUCCCAUGCAAUGAAAACUUGUCUCACCCCAAAUCACUAGAUAUUCCUCUUAUCUCUAACUGCUCUUACGACUCUUGGGUCACUUAUUCAACUUAUCUUAAUUUCUGCUUUCUCACUCUUUACAAUCUGCUGGCCUCCAUUCGGCUGCCUAGAUAGAGCCUUUAUAUCAGUGAUUCUCAGUUUUGUUCCCAAGGACAAUAUGCACCAGGAUCACCUUAGGGAAUUGCUAAAAAUUCAGAUUCAUGGGUCCCACCUGAGACCUGAGUCAGCAUCAAGAUCCCCAGGUGACACGCUGUAGUCUAUAAUGUGCUUUACCUGUUUGUGCAUCUUCCUAGGCCAUAAAAUACCAACAGUAUAAAAGUUUUCUCAUAAAACUUUUAUAAAUCAUAGAUACAGGGAACAGAUUGGUGUUGUCAGCAGCAGGGGGUGGCAGGGUGGGCGAAAUGGGUGAAAGUGAUCAAAAGGUAUAAACUUCCGGUUAUAAGAUGAAUAAGUCCUGGGGAUGUAAUACACAGCACGGUGAUUAUAGUUAAUAACACUGUAUUAUAUAUUUGAAAGUUGUUAAAAGAGUAGAUCUUAAA